UCUUGAUUUGCCAAACUUGCCAAAAGGAUUCUGUACAGGCUAUUGCUGUAUUGGGCUCAUUUAUCUGUUUAUAACAUGUUUGGUGAGUCGAGCGGGAACAAUUUAUUUUUCUUUUGUGCUUAACUUGGAAUUACACAAUUUUAACAGCUAUCAUACAUUUUGUUAGUAGCCUACUGAGCACAUAACUUUCUUAUUCAGGAUGUUGAUUUUAUUGAAAAUGAAGAUGAUCACAGUAUUGGGACCUACAAGUAGAUAAUAGCAGAGGAACUAAAUGAGAGAAAUAUAGCAGAUGAGCAGUGCUGCAGUGAACAACUCAUAGGAUGUUGAUUUUCUUGAAAAUGAAGAUGAUCACAGUAUUGGAACUCACAAAUAGCUAAUAGCAGAGAAACUAAAAGGGUGAAAUAUAGCAGAUGAGCAGUGAACAACUGAUAGAUUGUAAGUCCAUUCCAAUGAUGAACUCUGAAUUAUCACUAGAUCACAGUUCGAAUGAAAGCUUUAAUUACACAAAAGCAAUGGCAGUGAUGGACUCUUUGUUACAGGAUUUUCAAUCUACAAAUACCAUUAGAUAGCAGAAAAGCUUGACAUUCAUUACAGCAUACUACUGCUCCUGCCAAAUGAAGAAUUCCCAUUCAAAAAACAAAAAAGGCGUACCUUGACUUUCUCAUUACGACUGUAUUUAUUUGCGACCUUUAGUAGUCAAUUUCGCCGAAUAUUUACUGUUUUAAUAAAUUGUUUAAAGCU
This is a non-coding RNA of Styela clava, 741 nucleotides long. The record is from RefSeq and is a predicted model, not a curated record. NCBI's taxonomy places the organism in Eukaryota, Metazoa, Chordata, Ascidiacea, Stolidobranchia, Styelidae.